This 253-nucleotide ribosomal RNA is filed under the name uncultured bacterium. Its description in RNAcentral is "partial 16S ribosomal RNA". It matches the Rfam family "Bacterial small subunit ribosomal RNA", at positions 524 to 776 of the family's 1533-position model. The record is from RNAcentral.
UACAGAGGUCUCAAGCGUUGUUCGGAUUCAUUGGGCGUAAAGGGUGCGUAGGUGGCGCGCUAAGUCAGGUGUGAAAUUUCGGAGCUUAACUCCGAAACUGCAUUUGAUACUGGCGUGCUUGAGGACUGGAGAGGAGACUGGAAUUCACGGUGUAGCAGUGAAAUGCGUAGAUAUCGUGUGGAAGACCAGUGGCGAAGGCGGGUCUCUGGACAGUUCCUGACACUGAGGCACGAAGGCCAGGGGAGCAAACGGG